This 310-nucleotide unclassified non-coding RNA is filed under the name Hevea brasiliensis (rubber tree). Lineage: Eukaryota; Viridiplantae; Streptophyta; Magnoliopsida; Malpighiales; Euphorbiaceae. The record is from RNAcentral.
AGCAACAAGACCUGCAUUUCCUGCCAUCGUCGGCUCAGUGUAGCUAUAAUUCGCCCUGACAUCCAAGAAGCCGUCAAACCGGUCAGGGCCUCCAACCAUGGCACCUGUGAUGGUGUUGGGAUUAGGCGAUUUCGUGUCCCGCCACUUCCACCCACCAGUGCAGCUGUGCUUCGAGCCGUCAUGUGGGAUGGAGGCGCCACGGUGGUGGACAUGCUUCGGGUAGCUCUUCCCAAACCCGACCACAUAGCUCAUCUUGCGAGGAUUCGCCCCCAAAAUGUAGUCCAGCUGAGAGGCAGCGAAGGUUCGUAGA